GACGAACGCUGGCGGCGUGCCUAAUACAUGCAAGUAGAACGCACAGUUUAUACCGUAGCUUGCUACACCAUAGACUGUGAGUUGCGAACGGGUGAGUAACGCGUAGGUAACCUGCCUGGUAGCGGGGGAUAACUAUUGGAAACGAUAGCUAAUACCGCAUAAUAUUAAUUAUUGCAUGAUAAUUAAUUGAAAGGUGCAAUUGCACCACUACCAGAUGGACCUGCGUUGUAUUAGCUAGUAGGUGAGGUAACGGCUCACCUAGGCGACGAGACAUAGCCGACCUGAGAGGGUGAUCGGCCACACUGGGACUGAGACACGGCCCAGACUCCUACGGGAGGCAGCAGUAGGGAAUCUUCGGCAAUAGACGAAAGUCUGACCGAGCAACGCCGCGUGAGUGAAGAAGGUUGUCGGAUCGUAAAGCUCUGUUGUAAGAGAAGAACGGGUGUGAGAGUGGAAAGUUCACACUGUGACGGUAUCUUACCAGAAAGGGACGGCUAACUACGUG
RNAcentral lists this ribosomal RNA (505 nucleotides) under uncultured bacterium. Its description in RNAcentral is "partial 16S ribosomal RNA". It matches the Rfam family "Bacterial small subunit ribosomal RNA", at positions 28 to 507 of the family's 1533-position model. The record is from RNAcentral.